Molecule: ribosomal RNA, 1396 nt
Filed under: uncultured bacterium
Lineage: Bacteria
Description: bacterial SSU rRNA
Rfam family: Bacterial small subunit ribosomal RNA
Source: RNAcentral
UUAGAGUUUGAUCCUGGCUCAGGAUGAAUUUUAGCGGGAGGCUUAACACAUGCAAGUCGAGGGGCAGCACGAUGUAGCAAUACGUUGGUGGCGACCGGCGCACGGGUGAGUAACACGUAUGCAACCUACCCUGUACAGGGGGAUAACCCGGAGAAAUUCGGACUAAUAUCCCAUAAAGAUAUUUGAGGGCAUCCUUGGAUAUUUAAAGCUCAGGCGGUACGGGAUGGGCAUGCGGAACAUUAGCUAGUUGGCAGGGUAACGGCCUACCAAGGCAACGAUGUUUAGGGGACCUGAGAGGGUGAUCCCCCACACUGGUACUGAGACACGGACCAGACUCCUACGGGAGGCAGCAGUGAGGAAUAUUGGUCAAUGGGCGCAAGCCUGAACCAGCCAUCCCGCGUGCAGGAAGACGGCCCUAUGGGUUGUGAACUGCUUUUCCAGGGGGAGAAUUUUUCUGUCGUGACAGGAAUUGACGGUACCCUGGGAAUAAGCAUCGGCUAACUCCGUGCCAGCAGCCGCGGUAAUACGGAGGAUGCGAGCGUUAUCCGGAUUUAUUGGGUUUAAAGGGUGCGUAGGCGGAUUGAUAAGUCAGUGGUGAAAACCUGCAGCUUAACUGUAGACUUGCCGUUGAUACUGUCAGUCUUGAGUGUGGUCAAGGUAGGCGGAAUGUGUAAUGUAGCGGUGAAAUGCUUAGAUAUUACACAGAACACCGAUUGCGAAGGCAGCUUACUGGGCCAUUACUGACGCUGAUGCACGAAAGCGUGGGGAUCGAACAGGAUUAGAUACCCUGGUAGUCCACGCCGUAAACGAUGAUCACUCGCUGUUAGCGAUACACAGUUAGCGGCUAAGCAAAAGCAUUAAGUGAUCCACCUGGGGAGUACGGCCGCAAGGCUGAAACUCAAAGGAAUUGACGGGGUCUGGCACAAGCGGUGGAGCAUGUGGUUUAAUUCGAUGGUACGCGAAGAACCUUACCAGGGUUUGACAUGGACCUUACAAGAGAUGAGAGUCUCUGCCCGAAAGGGGUGGUUCACAGGUGCUGCAUGGCUGUCGUCAGCUCGUGUCGUGAGAUGUUGGGUUAAGUCCCGCAACGAGCGCAACCCUUAUGCUUAGUUGCCAGCGAGUCAAGUCGGGCACUCUAAGCAGACUGCCGGUGAUAAACCGGAGGAAGGUGGGAUGACGUCAAGUCCUCAUGGCCCUUAUAUCCUGGGCUACACACGUGCUACAAUGGCUACUACAAAGGGUAGCGAAGCUGCGAAGCGGAGCGAAUCUCAAAAAAGUAGUCUCAGUUCGGAUUGGAGUCUGCAACUCGACUCCAUGAAGCUGGAAUCGCUAGUAAUCGCAGAUCAGCAUGCUGCGGUGAAUACGUUCCCCAGACUUGCACUCACCGCCCGUCAAG